RNAcentral lists this ribosomal RNA (217 nucleotides) under uncultured bacterium. Its description in RNAcentral is "partial 16S ribosomal RNA". It matches the Rfam family "Bacterial small subunit ribosomal RNA", at positions 328 to 539 of the family's 1533-position model. The record is from RNAcentral.
ACGCUCGACACCUACGGAUGCAGCAGUGAGGAAUAUUGGUCAAUGGGCGCUAGCCUGAACCAGCCAAGUAGCGUGAAGGAUGAAGGCUCUAUGGGUCGUAAACUUCUUUUAUAUAAGAAUAAAGUGCAGUAUGUAUACUGUUUUGUAUGUAUUAUAUGAAUAAGGAUCGGCUAACUCCGUGCCAGCAGCCGCGGUAAUCUGAGCGGGCUGGCAAGGC